UGCGAGUGUUCCAGCCAGGACCCCGGAUCGUUGUGCUCGCCUCACGCCGGCCCGAGUUCGCAGCAGCGCUGGGGGCCCCGGGCCUGUGACCACAAAGAGGGAGCCGAGGGCCAGGCGGGAGCACGGUGGCGGCAGCUGAGGCCCAGGCCAGGCCCCCUCCCCUCAGCCUCCCGCCUGCCCGUCUGCCAUGCCCCCGCCGGCGGCGCCGCGCCCCUCCCCCAAUCGCCAGACUAGCGCGGUGCGGGGGCCGCGCGCGAAGACAUGCGGGAGAAGCUGGAGCUGAGGCUGGAGUCGCUCUUGGGGACCGAGCCCGCCGUCUACCCGUGGCCGCUGCCGGUCUACUCUCCUGAGUUUCUGGGAAGGCCUGGUUUCCCCAAAGGAACGAUUUCUGGUAGAAGUCUGAAGGUCUGACCCAAGAAAAACAAAUCCAGUACAGCCAAUGAAUUGAGGACAAGAAGGUUUCCAAUCAGUUCUGGAGGCUGGAAGUCCGGGAUCAAGAUGUUGGCAGUUUGGGGUCCUCCUGAGGCCUCUUUCCUUGACUUGCAGGACUUACCAGAAACUAUUCCUUAUUUAAAAAUUUGUACAAUUGGGCAUCAGGCCAGAUGACGACACUAGUUUUAAAUUCCAGUGUGCUGUUAAUGGGUUUCUGAAAGAACAUAAAGAUAACGCGGCUGGGACUUGUCGCUGUGGGUGGCAGGUGUUUGGCACCAGAUGGGCCACCAUGCGGAGACUGUUGGGGACUGUGGAAGCCGCCUCCUCCAGAGCUCACCCUGCCUGGGCACCGGCUCUGCAGACCCCUCAGCCCUGGGUAUGUAUCGGCCAGCCCUUCCCCGCAACGGGGCCCAGAGGCCAGAGCCUGCCCAGAGCUGAGUGGAGGAGGCACCCAGAGCUUGCCAGGCUGUGGCCCGCCUCCUCCGUGGACCUCCCCAGCUUGUCCGUGAGCCCUGGAGACAGGAGCGCCUUCUCCAGGGCUGCUGAGCUGCCAGCAUCACCAUGAGCCAGGCGGUGAAGGUUUCUGAGCAGGGGAUGCAGAGCCCUGAUGCGACUGGAUGCUGCACCCCACGAUGUCCC
Molecule: long non-coding RNA, 1071 nt
Organism: Lagenorhynchus albirostris (white-beaked dolphin)
Lineage: Eukaryota; Metazoa; Chordata; Mammalia; Artiodactyla; Delphinidae
Exons: 5
Source: RefSeq, a predicted model, not a curated record